Molecule: long non-coding RNA, 4743 nt
Filed under: Solanum tuberosum (potato)
Lineage: Eukaryota; Viridiplantae; Streptophyta; Magnoliopsida; Solanales; Solanaceae
Description: long non-coding RNA (STUB_LNC005500)
Source: RNAcentral
UCCUCAUCUUCCUCUUCCUAUUAUUAAUUAUUAUUAUUAUUACAAAGAAAGUGCAUCAACAGACGCAACAAAUAUAUAUAAUUAUACUUUAACUAAUUUCACAAAAUAUCGGCCACCUCUCACCUGUACAAAAUAACUUUGUCCAUCAAAGUAAAGACAAAUAAAAUGAUAAACAAAAAUCUGGUUCUUAAAAGCGCAAGGAAUCCAUAAAUUUCACCAUUGAUUGAUCUAAUUUAUCUAAAGCCUGAUCAUUACAUCAAAAAUACAAAUCUUGAAGGCAAGAACUAUACAAAAGAUAAGGACAACUCUUCAUUCAUUAUGAGGAAUAGUUGUUCUUCUAGAUAUUUUCUAAAAUAUAAUUGGGGAUUGAUUUCGCAAUAGUUUUGCUGCUCUUUCCAAUUUUCUAGCUUUGUUGGCUACAUUGCAGACCAAAUGACCACCUCUAUCAAUCAGUCGUCUUGACUAAAUCGAAUAUAUCUUUUCAUAACAACUUGUAUGAGCUUGCAACUUUACGUUUUCUGCAUUACCUGAAAUUAUAACAGAAAAAUAAUCACAUAUAUAUGGAUACUCAUUAUCAAUUUUAAGAGAACACAAAUGUAUAUUAUAAAUGUUUUCAGCCAUGUACAUUGACAACAACUGCUUGUUGAGUAUGACAUUGUCCAGUUUUAGAUUGAAUGAGUUAAAAAACAUGUCCCAAAGUUGUGAGCCACCAAAAAGUGAUACAGGUGACUAUUUCUUUUGAUAUCUUCUCUACACAUGCAACACAUAUUGCACAAGUUGAAGUUUCUUUUGAUAAAUAAUCAUGUGUUAAAUAAGAUUGACAAUCUACUAAUCAUGUGAAACAGGCUUCCUAGUAAUGAACCUUUGUGUCCCUCUUACAUUGAAUUGUUUUGGGACAAGAUCUCACAGAAAAAUUACCUUUACUGCUAGAAAUCUACCAUACUCAUCUCUCAUAUAGCUUAUUUCAUAAGGACAACACAGGGCCCUGAUAUUUAUAAUAGUAGUUCAUGGAUAUUAAGAUUUAGUUCUAGGCUACAACUUUCAACAAAAGACCUACUAUUUAUGUAAAAUAUGAUAGUAUAAUUGCCUUUGAAAUUUAUUUACAAUAUUUUAGUUAUCAAAGGCCAUCAUCAUUGUUAAUUAGAAUGAGUUUGACCCAAAUUAUCUGAAAUGCAUCAAUAAAAAGCUCUUAUUUAGCAUGACAUUAGAUCAAAGAGUUGUUACAAGAACCAAAGUGUGUCUAUAGAGAACAAAAGCUAUUAAAGUCGUGACCAAAUAAAAAUUCAUACACUUACCUUAUUCUCAAUUAGUAGUCGCCGACAAAAAAGGGGAACGAAAAAAACUCACUCUACAUUUUCGUUUUCCUUCAGCUCAUAUAAAUUAGACAAAGCAAUGUCAGCUGUAUUGAGAGGAAGAGAACCCAAUAUACCAUUUAUUUUAAUGCUUGUAUGUAUUUGAUUUUAGGAAAAUCAAGUAGAAGAAAAGAUAUGAAGUGCAAGUUAGAAGGAAUAAUGUCGUUAAAUUCCUUUUUAGGUGUGCAUUAUCUCACAAAUUCGCUUAAUAUAGAUAUAAGAGGGAGUAAUAUUUAGUUUAUUAUUUAGCUAGAAGAGAUUAAGAAAAACGGCAGACAUAUGUUAAUAUAAACAGUUACUUUUUAUUUUUCCUCUUAUUUUUUUUUAAAAAAAAUUAGCAAACCAUUUAUAAUUGUUCACAACCAAAACAAAUCACUGCCAUUAAAUAAUAGAAUGGACAUUUGACAUGAAUCUACCAUUCCAUUGAAUUGGACAUUUUCUAAUGGGAGGGGAUCUCUUCCCAUAUUGUUCUACAUAAAACAUAAUAUAAAUAAGAAUAUUUGUAUUAGCAAUAUGGGAAUUAAACAAUUGUACCUCCACAAUUGUGUCAACACAUCACUGUAUUACUUAAUAAAGCAGAAACAAAAAACAAAUACAAUUCCAAGAUUCAUUAAAAAAACUCGAUUCCAAAUUCACUAAACAAAUACAGUUUACAUAUUACCCCAGCAGGUAUGAUCAGUGCAAUUAAUAUAGUACCAACACUUACUAUGGAAAAAUGAGAAUUGCGAUAGCAUUGAAGAGUGAUAAAUGAAAGUGUGGAAAAGGAAAAAUGUCUUUUUAAUGUGUUUAACUUCUUGAUUCUAGAAAAGUGUUUUCAAUGUGUGGAUGAAAGAGAGCCAUGUAGAAAGAUAUUGUUUAGUUUUAAAUGAUCUUUUUGUUCACUCAACCGAUUAGCAUAUGAAACUGAUGAAAAUUACACUAUAAAUGAUGGAGUUACUUUUAAAUUUUUCUCCUAGGAUUAGUUAAGAGGGAUGAAGAUGUUUCUAGAGUGAACCUAAAACAUUGGCUAGAGCAUAAAUGCACGUAUAUCAAAGAACCCAGCAACCCUCAAAAACAACUAAUGAAGUAUAACACAGUGCAUGCAACAAGACUACAACACAGGUACUACAUAAAGCAGCAAAAUUGAAUUAAAAAUCAAGCUAAUCGAAUGGAAAAUCGACAAAAGGAGAGCUAAAACAAAAAAGAACUUAGAGCAUUAAUAAACCAAAGAGAAGAGGAGAAGUUGUUAGGUCUAGUUAGAAACUAAAAAAAUGAUGUCAUCUCAAGAUUAAACUGAGAAAACGUUAGUCCAUCAGAGUUUCAACUUUCAAUAAAUCAGAAAGUACAAACACUUUAGGGAUACAAUUUAGGCAUUUUAAAGUGAAAUUCUAGUCUCAUUUUAAUCUAACUGCCUAUAUAAUUAUUUUCAUGUCCACAACAGUUGUCGAACAAAAAACAUUGAACAGAAGCGUAGAAGCAUAAUACAUGUUCAUCAUGAGGAAGAGAAAGGGACAAUAAUGAACACAACUAAAUAAGUGAGCAAACUUACAUAAGAUAUGCCACAAUAUAUCAAAUCAGUCGCUCCCAUGUAAACUAUAAACUACAAUUCUACAUUACUUCAGUAACCCGUCAAGGACUGAGUGACAGCUCAAACAAUUAAUGAAGUGAAGCCAACAUACUUCCAGAAAUAAGCAUCAUAGCAAAUACCUGAAAUGUUGUUGUCAAAGAAAAAUGACUUAGGAAGCGGACUUGUGUGUCUUCCCAUAAGCUUCUAGCCAUCUUGAUCAAGUGAUUGCAUCGGAACCAUCCAAAAAGCUAACACAGACCAAAUAGUAGUUGCAACUGUCAAAACAAAGAGGAAAAGAACUGAUUAGGAAGCAGAAAAAACUAAAGCUCUUCAUAAGAGAAACUAUAUGUAACAACACAACCCCUCGUUUUAAGUAUUAGCACCUCAUUCCUUGAUUUGAGACUUCCAGUAGGUUCAUACAAUGUUUUGUAUUAUGUUGGGAAGUUUGGUUUUGGUUAAUAUGAUGUUUUUUUAGAUAUUUCUUUGCCCCCCUAAGUUUUACCUCGCCCCACCCUACUCUACCAUCCUAUUCUGCCACCUCACAUCCCUAGGUGUUGAUGGGUGGAGAUUGGGUUGAGAAUUCUGUAGUUAGUUGGUCCUUAAUCUAGCUGGAAGGUCAUUGGGAUAUCAAUAUAAUUUUACUUUUCAAAAAAAAGGAAGCCAAAUUGAAAUAGUAUGAGCUAGCAUUUGUUUUUGGAAUUAGAUGAAUUACCUCCUCUAUCUCAGAUUUAAUUUGUUCCAGAAGUGAGUCUGCAAUUUUGUACCUUAGAAGGUCCAUUUCACCAAAAAAUAGUGACCUAUCUCAGGUCAUAUUGUAUCAAUUUGAAGGAUAUACAUCCUCAAAUUGAUUGCAAUGACUCUCAUUCUAUGCACACAAAUAAAGUACUUGUGGUUGCUCCAAUUUAAAGCACAACAGUUUUGGCAUUAAAAUACAACAUUUGAUACUUGAUAGAACUUGAUCUUUCACAUCUCACAAAGUUUAGCAACACCAGAUUCACUCGAACUCACAGGUCAUGCAAGAUAUAAGAGUGAUGGGAACAAGGAUACAAAAUCGAGAGAUGAAAGGAAUUGAAUGUUUACUGACCCCAUGAAUAAAGCAAGUAUGAACAUAAAGACUGAUAUUGCUCCAAGUUGAAAAGCAGCAACAUAAGUCGAAUUUGUGCAGUCAAGACCAACAACAAAGAGUUGGCAACCAAAAAAUACUUGUCUUAGUACCAAGAGAGGAAGAAAGCAUUUUCAGCAAUAGGCUUUUAUUAAGUGUAACAAAACUAUGGAAAUUAAUAAAACAAAUUCAAAUAUACAAAUUUAGUACAUCAAAACUUACCCAGUUAAUUCUAGAAUGAAGAAUAACAAUACGAGCCGCUUACUCAGAGGAAGCAUCGACCUCCUAUACAUAAAGAAACAUAAAAUGCAUAUUUGUAAGCGAUGCUCACUUUUGAAAGAACUUGUACAUAUAAAGGGAAUCAUACUAAAAUUAGCUGCGAAACGAAAAGAUCUGAAGGGAACUUGUACAUAUAAAGGGAAAAAAAGAGAAACAUAAAGAAUAAGAUAAAGACGAAGAACAUUGAAGGAAGAAUAUACAUACCUAAAAAUGGCGAUAGCCUGCUGAAAAGAUGAAAAUAGCAGAGACUUGUGUCUACUUUUUCCGGUUUGAGUAAAAAGAAGAAGAACGGAUUUGAGAAGAUCCUACCAAUUUUCAUUUGCUUAAUUCCUAAUCUCUUAAUAAUAUGCAAAAAUGAGGAAAGAGGAAGAACGUUCUGGAAGAAUAUGGAAGAGGCACAUGUGGUUUGCUUAAAAAAAUCAGUUCUGUAUAAUGACCAUAGUACCCUUGAAUAAUGAGUAUAU